GGGACACGUGGUAUCCUGUCUGAAUAUGGGGGGACCAUCCUCCAAGGCUAAAUACUCCUGACUGACCGAUAGUGAACCAGUACCGUGAGGGAAAGGCGAAAAGAACCCCGGCGAGGGGAGUGAAAAAGAACCUGAAACCGUGUACGUACAAGCAGUGGGAGCACGCUUAGGCGUGUGACUGCGUACCUUUUGUAUAAUGGGUCAGCGACUUAUAUUCUGUAGCAAGGUUAACCGAAUAGGGGAGCCGAAGGGAAACCGAGUCUUAACUGGGCGUUAAGUUGCAGGGUAUAGACCCGAAACCCGGUGAUCUAGCCAUGGGCAGGUUGAAGGUUGGGUAACACUAACUGGAGGACCGAACCGACUAAUGUUGAAAAAUUAGCGGAUGACUUGUGGCUGGGGGUGAAAGGCCAAUCAAACCGGGAGAUAGCUGGUUCUCCCCGAAAGCUAUUUAGGUAGCGCCUCGUGAAUUCAUCUCCGGGGGUAGAGCACUGUUUCGGCAAGGGGGUCAUCCCGACUUACCAACCCGAUGCAAACUGCGAAUACCGGAGAAUGUUAUCACGGGAGACACACGGCGGGUGCUAACGUCCGUCGUGAAGAGGGAAACAACCCAGACCGCCAGCUAAGGUCCCAAAGUCAUGGUUAAGUGGGAAACGAUGUGGGAAGGCCCAGACAGCCAGGAUGUUGGCUUAGAAGCAGCCAUCAUUUAAAGAAAGCGUAAUAGCUCACUGGUCGAGUCGGCCUGCGCGGAAGAUGUAACGGGGCUAAACCAUGCACCGAAGCUGCGGCAGCGACGCUUAUGCGUUGUUGGGUAGGGGAGCGUUCUGUAAGCCUGUGAAGGUGUACUGUGAGG
Molecule: ribosomal RNA, 850 nt
Filed under: Escherichia coli
Lineage: Bacteria; Pseudomonadati; Pseudomonadota; Gammaproteobacteria; Enterobacterales; Enterobacteriaceae
Description: partial 23S ribosomal RNA
Rfam family: Bacterial large subunit ribosomal RNA
Source: RNAcentral